UCCAACCUUCCUCUCUCCACGGAAUAGCCCGUCGAAAGGCGGAUUAAUACCGUAUGAGGUCACCAGAUGGCAUCAGAAAGUGACGAAAGGUUUGGCGGAGAGAGAUGGGGAUGCGUCCGAUUAGCUUGUUGGCGGGGUAACGGCCCACCAAGGCGACGAUCAGUAGGGGUUCUGAGAGGAAGGUCCCCCACAUUGGAACUGAGACACGGUCCAAACUCCUACGGGAGGCAGCAGUGAGGAAUAUUGGUCAAUGGGCGCAAGCCUGAACCAGCCAAGUAGCGUGAGGGAAGACUGCCCUACGGGUUGUAAACCUCUUUUGUUUGGGAAUAAAGUGCGGGACGUGUCCCGCAUUGCAUGUACCAUUUGAAUAAGGACCGGCUAAUUCCGUG
RNAcentral lists this ribosomal RNA (389 nucleotides) under uncultured bacterium. RNAcentral describes it as "bacterial SSU rRNA". It matches the Rfam family "Bacterial small subunit ribosomal RNA", at positions 120 to 507 of the family's 1533-position model. The record is from RNAcentral.